AAGUUAAACGGCUGCAGUACUCUGACUGUGCAAAGGUAGCAUAAUCAUUUGUUCAUUAAUUGUGGACUGGCAUCAACGGCUAGACGACAAGAAAGCUGUCUCUUUGUAUAUUAGCUGAACCUAAUAUUAGGGUGAAGAAGCCUUAAUUAUUGAGCGGGACGAGAAGACCCUGUGGAGCUUUAGUUUGGUGUUAAAGCAUAAUAAAAAGACUUAAGUUGGGGCAACUAUUGUUAAAAAUUAAAACAACAAUAAACUAUUAAUAAAAUUGAAUUUUUUAUGACCUAAAAGUUUUUAAUAAUUAGAAAAAGUUACCCCAGGGAUAACAGCGUAAUUUUUCUUGAAAGUACGUAUUGACAGAGAAGUUUGCGACCUCGAUGUUGGAUCAGGGCCUCCUGAAGGUGCAGCAGCUUUCAAGGGUUGGUUUGUUCAACCAUAAAAGCCCUACGCGAUCUGAGUUCAGACCGGCGUAAGCA
RNAcentral lists this ribosomal RNA (473 nucleotides) under Ophiactis lymani. RNAcentral describes it as "partial 16S ribosomal RNA". It matches the Rfam family "Bacterial large subunit ribosomal RNA", at positions 1920 to 2627 of the family's 2925-position model. The record is from RNAcentral. Lineage: Eukaryota; Metazoa; Echinodermata; Ophiuroidea; Amphilepidida; Ophiactidae.